RNAcentral lists this transfer RNA (73 nucleotides) under Candidatus Abyssobacteria bacterium SURF_5. Its description in RNAcentral is "Candidatus Abyssubacteria bacterium SURF_5 tRNA-Ala". It matches the Rfam family "tRNA". Rfam says of the family: Transfer RNA (tRNA) molecules are approximately 80 nucleotides in length. Their secondary structure includes four short double-helical elements and three loops (D, anti-codon, and T loops). Further hydrogen bonds mediate the characteristic L-shaped molecular structure. tRNAs have two regions of fundamental functional importance: the anti-codon, which is responsible for specific mRNA codon recognition, and the 3' end, to which the tRNAs corresponding amino acid is attached (by aminoacyl-tRNA synthetases). tRNAs cope with the degeneracy of the genetic code in two manners: having more than one tRNA (with a specific anti-codon) for a particular amino acid; and 'wobble' base-pairing, i.e. permitting non-standard base-pairing at the 3rd anti-codon position. The record is from RNAcentral. RNAcentral also lists the same sequence under 2 other names. Lineage: Bacteria; Pseudomonadati; Candidatus Hydrogenedentota; Candidatus Abyssobacteria.
GGGGAUGUAGCUCAGUUGGGAGAGCGUUUGACUGGCAGUCAAAAGGUCGAGGGUUCGAUUCCCUUCAUCUCCA